RNAcentral lists this ribosomal RNA (468 nucleotides) under uncultured bacterium. Its description in RNAcentral is "partial 16S ribosomal RNA". It matches the Rfam family "Bacterial small subunit ribosomal RNA", at positions 28 to 507 of the family's 1533-position model. The record is from RNAcentral.
GACGAACGCUGGCGGCGUGCUUAACACAUGCAAGUCGAACGGAAAGGCCCUGCUUUUGUGGGGUGCUCGAGUGGCGAACGGGUGAGUAACACGUGAGUAACCUGCCCUUGACUUUGGGAUAACUUCAGGAAACUGGGGCUAAUACCGGAUAGGAGCUCCUGCUGCAUGGUGGGGGUUGGAAAGUUUCGGCGGUUGGGGAUGGACUCGCGGCUUAUCAGCUUGUUGGUGGGGUAGUGGCUUACCAAGGCUUUGACGGGUAGCCGGCCUGAGAGGGUGACCGGCCACAUUGGGACUGGGAUACGGCCCAGACUCCUACGGGAGGCAGCAGUGGGGAAUAUUGCACAAUGGGCGGAAGCCUGAUGCAGCAACGCCGCGUGCGGGAUGACGGCCUUCGGGUUGUAAACCGCGUUCGCCUGUGACGAAGCGUGAGUGACGGUAAUGGGUAAAGAAGCACCGGCUAACUACGUG